GCAAGUCUCUCUCAGCGAACCUCUCUGCACUGCUUAUCAUCAUUUUCAUCAAAGUCUAUUCACUGCGUGUUUGGUGUCCGAGGGGGCAGCAGCCUUGGUACUGGAAAUGCAAAAGAAAACAUGGAAGAAUACGAUGACAGAAGAGGAUCUAAAAAUGACUGGUGCAGACAAGCAUGUGCAAAUGGAGAAUCAAGAGCUCUGACUUUUUGGGUACAGCUUAUUUCUGAGAAGCAAAAAGGGAAGCGAGCAGAGAGAGACUCUCAGUGACCAUGAUCACCUCAACAGCUGGCAGAUACGGGCAGCUCUACGCCUGCUUCCCCUAAAAAUCAUGGCUCCCUGUGGAGCGAAGGGAUGAAAACAGUUGUCCAGCCCACAGUAAGGCCAAAGGUAUUUAUCCUAAGCAAAAAGAAUGCAAAAUAAAGAAGAGUUCGUGUAAUCUAAGAAGAAUAUAAAAUAAAGAACAGUGUGGUUCCAAACACUGAAACUGGAGAUAGUGUGACCUUCAGGAGGGGGAAGAAGUUGGCCAACUGCUGCUUACGGCGAGGGGAUGUUUAUUACCCAGCUAUUGUAAAUGAUGGUUAUAUGACUGCAGCACUUAAAGAGCCAUACAAGAUAAAGUUAAUUGAAGAAAUAAGAUAGACGCAUGUACAAGCCUUUACAAUUGUGUUAACCAAAAGCCACAUUAUGUAAAAUGUGGAUGAAGUCUGAAGAUCACACCACUGUCAGUUUCCUAGUCCUGAGUGAGUCUGGGAGACAUACAAUGCACCAGACAGAGAGGGAGAAUACAGAAGAGGAAAGCUUACAGGGACCUGAAGAGGCUGCCGUCCUUCUGCCACGCUGACUGCUGUACCCAAACAGGGAACGAUUGCACUGCACACAAGGGCCAGAGCACGAGAGGGAGAAAACAGGUUCUGGGUCAGAACAGUGGGACCAAGCGGGCGCGGUCAAAGAAGAGGAGUAAAGACCUCCUGUAGGCAUGGGCUGAGAAAGAAACAGCGAUAAAUUCAUUGUUGAGGGAUUCAAAGUGCAGGUGGGACAUUGGUAAGGGACACAGUGGGCCUUGAAUACUAAGCAAAAAGUUUGCGCUUUAUAUAGAGAUAAAUGUGUAGUUUAAAAAAUUGAAUUGUACCAGAGGACUUUUUCUUAAGAAGCAACUGAAUUAAGCUCUGUCCUUCCCCACAGCCUUUUCAAACCCUAGAGUAGAGGAAUUAUUUUUAACCAUUUGUCUAGCGUCUUUUACAGAGUACCCUCACAGCCUGAAAAAGUACCUAUGUAGUUGUU
This 1281-nucleotide long non-coding RNA is filed under the name Chinchilla lanigera (long-tailed chinchilla). RNAcentral describes it as "lncRNA (ENSCLAG00000027723.1)". The record is from RNAcentral. Lineage: Eukaryota; Metazoa; Chordata; Mammalia; Rodentia; Chinchillidae.